RNAcentral lists this ribosomal RNA (1345 nucleotides) under uncultured bacterium. RNAcentral's name for it is "bacterial SSU rRNA". It matches the Rfam family "Bacterial small subunit ribosomal RNA", at positions 1 to 1362 of the family's 1533-position model. The record is from RNAcentral.
GAAUUCGCCCUUAGAGUUUGAUCCUGGCUCAGGACGAACGCUGGCGGCACGCCUAACACAUGCAAGUCGAACGGACGAGGAGGAGCUUGCUUCUCCGAGUUAGUGGCGGACGGGUGAGUAACACGUGAGCAACCUGCCCUUGAGGGGGGGAUAGCUUCUGGAAACGGAUGGUAAUACCCCAUAACAUAUAUUUUAGGCAUCUAAGAUAUAUCAAAGAAAUUCGCUCAAGGAUGGGCUCGCGUCUGAUUAGAUAGUUGGUGAGGUAACGGCCCACCAAGUCGACGAUCAGUAGUCGGACUGAGAGGUUGAACGGCCACAUUGGGACUGAGACACGGCCCAGACUCCUACGGGAGGCAGCAGUGGGGAAUAUUGCACAAUGGGGGGAACCCUGAUGCAGCGAUGCCGCGUGGAGGAAGAAGGUUUUCGGAUUGUAAACUCCUUUUAACAGGGACGAUAAUGACGGUACCUGAAGAAAAAGCUCCGGCUAACUACGUGCCAGCAGCCGCGGUAAUACGUAGGGAGCGAGCGUUGUCCGGAAUUACUGGGUGUAAAGGGAGCGUAGGCGGGACGGUAAGUCAGGUGUGAAAUAUACGUGCUCAACAUGUAGACUGCACUUGAAACUGCUGUUCUUGAGUGAAGUAGAGGUAAGCGGAAUUCCUAGUGUAGCGGUGAAAUGCGUAGAUAUUAGGAGGAACAUCGGUGGCGAAGGCGGCUUACUGGGCUUUUACUGACGCUGAGGCUCGAAAGCGUGGGGAGCAAACAGGAUUAGAUACCCUGGUAGUCCACGCUGUAAACGAUGAUUACUGGGUGUGGGGGGACUGCCCCCUUCCGUGCCGCAGUUAACACAAUAAGGUAAUCCACCUGGGGAGUACGACCGCAAGGUUGAAACUCAAAGGAAUUGACGGGGGCCCGCACAAGCAGUGGAGUAUGUGGUUUAAUUCGACGCAACGCGAAGAACCUUACCAGGCCUUGACAUGGAAACAAAUACCCUAGAGAUAGGGGGAUAAUUAUGGAUCACACAGGUGGUGCAUGGUUGUCGUCAGCUCGUGUCGUGAGAUGUUGGGUUAAGUCCCGCAACGAGCGCAACCCUUGUCGCAUGUUACCAGCAUCAAGUUGGGGACUCAUGCGAGACUGCCGGUGACAAACCGGAGGAAGGUGGGGAUGACGUCAAAUCAUCAUGCCCCUUAUGGCCUGGGCUACACACGUACCACAAUGGCGACCACAAAGAGCAGCGACUUGGUGACAAGAAGCGAAUCUCAUAAAGGUCGUCUCAGUUCGGAAUGAAGUCUGCAACUCGACUUCAUGAAGUCGGAAUCGCUAGUAAUCGCAGAUCAGCAUGCUGCGG